Long non-coding RNA from Dipodomys spectabilis (banner-tailed kangaroo rat), 923 nucleotides. RefSeq lists it as uncharacterized. NCBI's taxonomy places the organism in Eukaryota, Metazoa, Chordata, Mammalia, Rodentia, Heteromyidae. The record is from RefSeq and is a predicted model, not a curated record. The transcript is spliced from 3 exons.
UUUGCAAAUGCCAUCCCCACGAUCCAGUCUGAUGGAACAGUGCCCAACUAUUCAGUGUGAGCUCUCUCCCCUGCACAGCUCAAAGGGGGGGGGGUGUGACCAUCCAUACCCAGCGCUCCUACGGUAAGUGCUUUGUGGCUUCUCCAUCUACACUCCUUUCUAAAAGGAGUGAUCUACAGCUCAAGCAGCUUUGCCACUCCAGAACAUGGUGCACACUGACUUUCUGGAACCUCAUCUGUCCUUUGGAGGGAUGCUGGAGAGAAGGACAGCACAUGAGUUAACACGAAAGCCUUCAAGUUGGUGGUCUGCCCGGAAGGACGUGGCACAUAUUGCCUUACUGCUUUGUUACGAAUGUGACGCUUCACAAAGUCAUGCUCUACAGCUCAAUCAAAUCCCUCCUUGGUCCUGGAAAAGCCUCUGUGACAGUGUCUGCCUUCUUGGUGCAUCACCUCUCUAGAAUGCUCCGGCCCUUUGUGUCUUAAGUUCCUAUGUUUGUAUAACUUAAAACAUCCACUGAGUGUGUGCACGUGUGCAAGCAAUCAUACAUGGAUGAGGUUCCAAAUAUCUCAUGCUUCCCCUAACACACCUAAGGAAAUGGUAAGCUGGUCUGGGUAUCUUAAGAACAGGCUGAACACAUACAUGGCUAGCCCAAAUGGAGGGGAGAGAGCUCAGCUCCUCCACUUCCAUUUGGUCUAAUUAUUCUUGUUCCUAGAGCUUUCCAAACAUAUUCUAAUAGCAUUGAAAACCAAUGUGCAUAAAUAUUCUCAAUAGAGUGGAUAUUAUCCUGUUGAAUGGUUACUUGGCUUUACGAUCUCCAUGGCUUUCUAUUAAAGUCCACACAUUUCAAAUAACUGAGACUCAAAAUAAAACUUCUUUCUACUACUCCUUUGCUGUGUGAUUUCUGAAGCAAAUGGCUUCUUCUG